GAUGAACGCUGACAGAAUGCUUAACACAUGCAAGUCGACUCGAGUCUUCGGACUUGGGUGGCGCACGGGUGAGUAACGCGUAAAGAACUUGCCUCUUAGACCGGGACAACAUCUGGAAACGGAUGCUAAUACCGGAUAUUAUGGUUUUUUCGCAUGGAGGAAUCAUGAAAGCUAGAUGCGCUAAGAGAGAGCUUUGCGUCCCAUUAGCUGGUUGGUGAGGUAACGGCCCACCAAGGCAAUGAUGGGUAGCCGGCCUGAGAGGGUGAACGGCCACAAGGGGACUGAGACACGGCCCUUACUCCUACGGGAGGCAGCAGUGGGGAAUAUUGGACAAUGGACCGCAAGUCUGAUCCAGCAAUUCUGUGUGCACGAUGACGUUUUUCGGAAUGUAAAGUGCUUUCAGUUGGGAAGAAAAAAAUGACGGUACCAACAGAAGAAGUGACGGCUAAAUACGUGCCAGCAGCCGCGGUAAUACGUAUGUCACAAGCGUUAUCCGGAUUUAUUGGGCGUAAAGCGCGUCUAGGUGGUUAUGUAAGUCUGAUGUGAAAAUGCAGGGCUCAACUCUGUAUUGCGUUGGAAACUGUGUAACUAGAGUACUGGAGAGGUAAGCGGAACUACAAGUGUAGAGGUGAAAUUCGUAGAUAUUUGUAGGAAUGCCGAUGGGGAAGCCAGCUUACUGGACAGAUACUGACGCUGAAGCGCGAAAGCGUGGGUAGCAAACAGG
Molecule: ribosomal RNA, 724 nt
Filed under: uncultured Fusobacterium sp.
Lineage: Bacteria; Fusobacteriati; Fusobacteriota; Fusobacteriia; Fusobacteriales; Fusobacteriaceae
Description: bacterial SSU rRNA
Rfam family: Bacterial small subunit ribosomal RNA
Source: RNAcentral